AUCCCAUGGUGAGGACAUGCAAGGAUGUACUCUUGAACUCUCUCCCAAGCCUCAAGAAUUGACUCAUUUGAUUCCUGCUGGAAGCUCGAAAUUCUUCCACGAAGAGC
This is a small nucleolar RNA of Panicum virgatum (switchgrass), 107 nucleotides long. Lineage: Eukaryota; Viridiplantae; Streptophyta; Magnoliopsida; Poales; Poaceae. The record is from RefSeq and is a predicted model, not a curated record.